GGAGAGAAAAGAUCUCGAAACCCCACACUCUUAAGAUUCUAGUUUUAUAUUUCAAAGUUUUUUUUUAACUAUGAUUUAACUGACUUGAACGUUGGAGGAGCUUUGGUUGGCACCCAAUCCUGGCGCCUGACAUGUUUAUUUCUGCUCGCAGGCUGUCCAACCAUUGGAUCUUAGCAGUUCAGUUCAGGUACGAUCCUAGCCAACUCCUCGCUGCGGCGUCUCUCCUUCCCACAUCAGCAACUUCCGGAAAACCCUACUCAGCAUCUCAAGACAAUUAGAGUACUGCUUCGUCAGCUCCAACAACGUUGGAGCCACAGGACGCUUGUUAGCAAACAUUGUUAAAUAUGCGGAAUAAACAAUAAAAUGAAGGAAAAGAAUUCAGAGGAAUAUAUUAGGAGGAGACAAGAACAAGAUUAGAAUACAAACGUACCGUGAUUUAUGAAUCAAGGAGCCACAAUAUUCUGAGAUGGUCAUCUGUUUCAGUGAGUGGCAAGCAAGGUGAUUGUUAGACCUUUUUGAAGCCAAACCAAAGCGAGUGCAUGCAGCAUUGAGAAGAAUUUUGCGGAUUUUAAGUUUUAGUUACGACUAAUACAUCCAUUCAUCCAAACUUGUCGAGAGGUAUUCUACAGAUUUUGUAAUGGGAAACAAUUAUGGGGAUAUAGGGUUUAUUUCCAACCAUCUGUUUCUUCUGUGAUCUUUUGUCUUUUCUUCCCUAACAAUUCUGCUGAGAUCUAAUAUACGGAUGUUCU
Molecule: long non-coding RNA, 749 nt
Organism: Asparagus officinalis (garden asparagus)
Lineage: Eukaryota; Viridiplantae; Streptophyta; Magnoliopsida; Asparagales; Asparagaceae
Exons: 3
Source: RefSeq, a predicted model, not a curated record